This 253-nucleotide ribosomal RNA is filed under the name uncultured bacterium. Its description in RNAcentral is "partial 16S ribosomal RNA". It matches the Rfam family "Bacterial small subunit ribosomal RNA", at positions 524 to 776 of the family's 1533-position model. The record is from RNAcentral.
UACGUAGGUGGCAAGCGUUAUCCGGAUUUAUUGGGUGUAAAGGGCGUGUAGGCGGGAAUGCAAGUCAGAUGUGAAAACUCAGGGCUCAACCCUGAGCUUGCAUUUGAAACUGUGUUUCUUGAGUGCUGGAGAGGCAAUCGGAAUUCCGUGUGUAGCGGUGAAAUGCGUAGAUAUACGGAGGAACACCAGUGGCGAAGGCGGAUUGCUGGACAGUAACUGACGCUGAGGCGCGAAAGCGUGGGGAGCAAACGGG